Molecule: long non-coding RNA, 976 nt
Organism: Apis florea (little honeybee)
Lineage: Eukaryota; Metazoa; Arthropoda; Insecta; Hymenoptera; Apidae
Source: RefSeq, a predicted model, not a curated record
UCGAAUCAAAUUUUAUUCUUGAAAAUUGGUUAAUUUUUAUCACAUUUAAUUUUUUUAUAAGAAACUGGUUCAAACAGUUAAAGGUCGAAUAAUAUUUGGAACACAAUUCCUAGAUUUUUUAUCACUAAACUUGUCGUUAGAAGAAGUCAUAUAAAACACAAUUUUCAUUCCUACACUUGUCACCAAAAGAAUUCAUAUGAAACUCAAUUUCUACUCCUACUUUUGCCACCAGAGAUAUUCACAUAAAACACAAUUCUUAUUAUUACACUACCACCAGAGAAAUUCAUACGGAACACAAUUUCUACUUCUAUAUUUGUCACCAUAUAUGAAUGUUCAAGUUUAACGUUUCAUGUCUACUUUGACGUCAUUGGUUGAAUACGCAACCAAUGACAAUAAGGUAUCGUUCCUACUAAUUGGAGACUUGCGCCACCACUCAAAGGAUUCGCGAAAGCAAAAUCCGUUAGAAAUUAUAAGAAAGAUUUUGGAACACACCGAUCUCUUUUGUGGAAUAUACACUAGAGGGAUCCACAUCGAAUAUAAUUCGUACUUUUUACUUCUCAUUGAAGCAGUUUCACAUGGAAGACAAUUUCGAACUGAACUGUUCUUUUUCAUAAGUGCAUCUUGUAACCUAAUUUCUACUAUCCUAGAGUUUAAAGUAUAGGUUCGUUGAAAAUGGUUACUCAUCUGUAAAAGGUUAAAUGUACGCUAUCGAUUUCACGACUAUGAACUCAUCUACAUAUCUCUCUUACGAAAAGCUAGUGCGGACUAACCCUUUGUUGCACUUGAAAUAUGCCAGAAGUGCUGACACGGACAUUAAUUUUACCAACUCGGUAUAUCAAUUGUACUGGACACGAAUAUCUUUGUAUCCUUACAUUAUGCACAAUUAAAUGAAGACAUCCAUCUCUGGAAAGAGGUUAAAGACUACAAUGUCUAAUCUAUAUUUGCUAUCAGGAAAAUUUACACCAAGGAAUUUCUU